RNAcentral lists this ribosomal RNA (1555 nucleotides) under Chlamydia suis. Its description in RNAcentral is "SSU rRNA". The record is from RNAcentral. Lineage: Bacteria; Pseudomonadati; Chlamydiota; Chlamydiia; Chlamydiales; Chlamydiaceae.
UAUAUUUCUGAGAAUUUGAUCUUGGUUCAGAUUGAACGCUGGCGGCGUGGAUGAGGCAUGCAAGUCGAACGGAACGGUUUUAUAGCUGUUUAGUGGCGGAAGGGUUAGUAAUGCAUAGAUAAUUUGUCUUUAACUUGGGAAUAACGGUUGGAAACGGCCGCUAAUACCGAAUGUGGCGCUAUUUAGGCAUCUAGAUGGUGUUAAAGAAGGGGAUCGUAGGACCUUUCGGUUAAAGGGGAGUCUAUGUGAUAUCAGCUAGUUGGUGGGGUAAAGGCCUACCAAGGCGAUGACGUCUAGGCGGAUUGAGAGAUUGGCCGCCAACACUGGGACUGAGACACUGCCCAGACUCCUACGGGAGGCUGCAGUCGAGAAUCUUUCGCAAUGGACGGAAGUCUGACGAAGCGACGCCGCGUGUGUGAUGAAGGCUCUAGGGUUGUAAAGCACUUUCGCYUGGGAAUAAGAGAAGGCGGUUAAUACCCGYCGGAUUUGAGCGUACYAGGUAAAGAAGCACCGGCUAACUCCGUGCCAGCAGCUGCGGUAAUACGGAGGGUGCUAGCGUUAAUCGGAUUUAUUGGGCGUAAAGGGCGUGUAGGCGGAAGAGUAAGUYRGUUGUCAAAUCUCGGGGCUCAACCCCGAAUCGGCAUCUGAUACUAUUUUUCUAGAGGGUAGAUGGAGAAAAGGGAAUUUCACGUGUAGCGGUGAAAUGCGUAGAUAUGUGGAAGAACACCAGUGGCGAAGGCGCUUUUCUAAUUUAYACCUGACGCUAAGGCGCGAAAGCAAGGGGAGCAAACAGGAUUAGAUACCCUGGUAGUCCUUGCCGUAAACGAUGCAUACUUGAUGUGGAUGGUCUCAACCCCAUCCGUGUCGGAGCUAACGCGUUAAGUAUGCCGCCUGAGGAGUACACUCGCAAGGGUGAAACUCAAAAGAAUUGACGGGGGCCCGCACAAGCAGUGGAGCAUGUGGUUUAAUUCGAUGCRACGCGAAGGACCUUACCUGGGUUUGACAUGCAUAUGACCGCGGCAGAAAUGUCGUUUUCCGCAAGGACAUAUGCACAGGUGCUGCAUGGCUGUCGUCAGCUCGUGCCGUGAGGUGUUGGGUUAAGUCCCGCAACGAGCGCAACCCUUAUCGUUAGUUGCCAGCACUUAGGGUGGGAACUCUAACGAGACUGCCUGGGUUAACCAGGAGGAAGGCGAGGAUGACGUCAAGUCAGCAUGGCCCUUAUGCCCAGGGCGACACACGUGCUACAAUGGCCAGUACAGAAGGUAGCAAGAUCGUGAGAUGGAGCAAAUCCUUAAAGCUGGCCCCAGUUCGGAUUGUAGUCUGCAACUCGACUACAUGAAGUCGGAAUUGCUAGUAAUGGCGUGUCAGCCAUAACGCCGUGAAUACGUUCCCGGGCCUUGUACACACCGCCCGUCACAUCAUGGGAGUUGGUUUUACCUUAAGUCGUUGACUCAACCCGCGAGGGGGAGAGGCGCCCAAGGUGAGGCUGAUGACUAGGAUGAAGUCGUAACAAGGUAGCCCUACCGGAAGGUGGGGCUGGAUCACCUCCUUUUAA